CAAGGUUUCCGUAGGUGAACCUGCGGAAGGAUCAUUAACGCGCAGGCCGGAGGCUGGCCCCCCACGAUAGGAAUCAACGUUCCAUCAGGGGUGUGCAGAUGUGCGCCGGUCUUACGCCCCAUUCUUGUCUACCUUACUCGGUUGCCUCGGCGGGCCGCGCUCUCCUGGGAGAGUCGUCCGGCGAGCCUCUUUGGGGGCUUUAGCUGGAUCGCGCCCGCCGGAGGACAGACAUCAAAAAAUCUUGGAAAGCUGUCAGUCUGAGCGUUAGCAAGUAAAAUUAGUUAAAACUUUCAACAACGGAUCUCUUGGUUCCGGCAUCGAUGAAGAACGCAGCGAAAUGCGAUAAGUAAUGUGAAUUGCAGAAUUCCGUGAAUCAUCGAAUCUUUGAACGCACAUUGCGCCCUCUGGUAUUCCGGGGGGCAUGCCUGUUCGAGCGUCAUUUCAACCCCUCAAGCCCGGCUUGUGUGAUGGACGACCGUCCGACCUCCUCUUUCGGGGGCGGGACGCGCCCGAAAAGCAGUGGCCAGGCCGCGAUCCCGGCUUCCUGGGCGAAUGGGCAGUCAAACCAGCGCCCUCAGGACCGGCCGCUCUGGCCUUCCCCCAAAUCUCUCUGAGAUAUUUUUUCAGGUUGACCUCGGAUCAGGUAGGGAUACCCGCUGAACUUAAGCAUAUCAAUA
Molecule: unclassified non-coding RNA, 677 nt
Filed under: Trichophyton concentricum
Lineage: Eukaryota; Fungi; Ascomycota; Eurotiomycetes; Onygenales; Arthrodermataceae
Description: sequence contains ITS1, 5.8S rRNA gene, ITS2
Rfam family: 5.8S ribosomal RNA (bases 286-439)
Source: RNAcentral